AUGCUACAGAAGUUCAUUUCCUGCUGGGAAAUAAAUAAUGGAGCUGAGCAGAGGGACCUGGCACGAGAGCUGACGUUUGUGAGAACUGGAGCCAAAGCUGCCCUGGAGCACGUGGGGACGGGUCAUGGACAAAGCUGUCUGCAGCAUCUGCUGAUUUGUCUAUUGAAAAAACAAUCCAACAAAACAACACAAAGCCCUGAGUUAUACAGCCCACGUAUAACAAGAUUUUUGGCAAGUGUGAUUGCAUUCACAAGAAAAUAUUGUCCAAAAAAUGCAAGCUCUCUGUUAGAAGGCUCAUACUAAUUCUGAUUAAUACAGCAAAAGCAAGGACGUUUUUUUCCUUGCUUGGAAGUGUACUGAUCAGAACUGCUCUUCUGACACUCCUCGUAAAUGGAGCGCUUACACUGAAGAUUUCAUCAUCAUCUGUUGCAGGAGAAUUUUCCAGCUAGGCGGUGGUGAGGCUGUGUGACCCCAGUACUCAGCAUUUCAUCGGAGAUGGGAACGUGUCACACAUCAGAUGUGACACUGGGCUGCCUUACGGUGUCCUCAUGAUGUUAAAACGAAGGGACUGAGUAGAGAGCGUGUACAGAAGGAAGGAAGAAAAAGAUCGUGCUGUCAUGUGAAGCUAGAUUUCAGAUUUUUGGGAGCAGCAUCUACAAAAAAAAAAAAAAAAAAGUAUGGAAUUAAGGGAAAACCUGCCCCUAAGAGAAAUGAGAAUAUGUGGCAGGCUUGGGGCCAUCCAGAGAGGUUGAGAAAUACUGGAAAUGUCUAAAGGUUCAGCUGGAUAUAAAGCUUAGCUUGCAGCAGCUGAAUUUCUUGCCCUUUUUACAUCUCUGGAAUUACAGACUGCUGGGUUACAUCAGUUAAUAUCCAGGUAUUACAUGAAAGCAGCAUUUAAAGUUUAACAAUAAUAUGUUAUUACAGAAAACAUAUAUGCACGUUUUUCUCAAAAAUUGUAACUUGAGUAGGAGGAAAAUCUCACAAAGGAAAAAGAAUUCAUUGGCUGAACUGAAUGCUCAUAGUGUUUCUCCAGGCUACACAGCAGCAAGGAAAUCCAGUGGGCUUAAUUGUGCAUUGCUGUGUUUGCAAAGUGUUGGAGGGGCCCUUAUGGUGUGCAGCAGUACUGAAUUGGGUUCAGUCUGGUUGUAAAUCAUAUCAGAGCACUGUUCUAGAAGGGAAAAAAAGCAUGUUUCAGCCAUGGUGAUGGUGACAGUGGGCCACCUCUGCUGAUGCAGAUCUUUAUGAGUAUGGCAUGCAGGCUCUUGCUCCUUGCUGCAAAAAUGCAUAGCUAAUGGUGAUGACUGUUGAAAAUUAGUGUGUUGUAGCUGACAAUGUUCUCUAUUAAAUGGUGGUGUUGUGCUCUUUGUAUUGAUUGUAGUUUCCAUGGAAAUAAACGCGAGGCAUUACUUUUCAGUCUGAAAAUGUUUCCCCUUUGUAUCUUCAGAACAUUGGAAUGAACAGAAAGUUAAUGUGGGGUAAUUUCAAUUUCGGAAUAGGUUCUGGGUGAGUUCCCUUCUCCUGACCCAGUUUCUUCUGAGCUGUGUUUUUCUUUUAGUCUCAUCUGGUAUGAAUUAAACUUCCUUGGCCACACAUUGCAAUCUGGUCAUUAGUAACACAUGGCAGCUGUGCACAGGUGUUUCUGUAGUUGGUGGUGUGCUUUGGUACAAGGUUUGUAUGU
This is a long non-coding RNA of Meleagris gallopavo (turkey), 1678 nucleotides long. The record is from Ensembl. Lineage: Eukaryota; Metazoa; Chordata; Aves; Galliformes; Phasianidae.